GACAGAGGCCUCAAGCGUUACCCGGAAUCACUGGGCGUAAAGGGUGUGUAGGCGGCUGCGUUAGUCUCUCGUAAAAGCUUUUGGGCUUAACCCAGAAAAUGCGGGGGAAACGGCGUAGCUUAGAGGAUGUGAGAGGUGUGCGGAACUCAUGGUGUAGGGGUGAAAUCCGUUGAUAUCAUGGGGAACACCAAAUGCGAAGGCAGCACACUGGCGCAUUCCUGACGCUGAGACACGAAAGCGUGGGUAGCGAACGGG
This 255-nucleotide ribosomal RNA is filed under the name uncultured bacterium. RNAcentral's name for it is "partial 16S ribosomal RNA". It matches the Rfam family "Bacterial small subunit ribosomal RNA", at positions 524 to 776 of the family's 1533-position model. The record is from RNAcentral.